GCAGGUUGGAUUGGUCAGCACCUGGAAGGAUACGAGUGUGUAGUAGUAUCCCCACAGGCUUUUGUGGGCGGGAUGAGGACCUUCCCCCUGGGGGGCUCGGGGCUCUUUGCGACAUAUGAUUUCGAAGCGUUGUGCCCGUCCUUGGACAUGGCGCCCGCGUGCCUGAGCCUAUUUGGGUUUUUCCUGGGGGGUGUGCCGGGGGCUUCGGAGGGUGGACAGUUCUUUAGAGAUCUAACUUGUUUGUUAUGCUAUGGAUUGUGUUUUUGCUUCGAGGGGGAGUACUGUGGGCGGACUGGGGGGUUGCCUAUCGGAG
RNAcentral lists this long non-coding RNA (313 nucleotides) under Androctonus crassicauda. Lineage: Eukaryota; Metazoa; Arthropoda; Arachnida; Scorpiones; Buthidae. The record is from RNAcentral.